GACAACAUCAGGGGUGGACAGGGAACUUAAAGUGCCCCUGGAAAAAACAAAAAAAGUGGCCCCAGAAGAUGGCAACACAAGUUGGCAGGUAUCUCAUGUCAGUGGUUUAACAGCUGUUAUUCCCUCGUGGCAUCUUCCUGCCUCAUGUAAGACAGAAGAUUGGCUAUCCAAAUCAAGGACAUUCUGCAUUCAGUCAACAGCAUGUACAAAAAGGAAAUGAUAUAUUCUUGGAAUAAAUACAUCAUGAAAAUGUACAUCUAACCACAUAAAAGAAUAGCCUCCCAUUCCACACAGCAUAAACCAGGGUGGAGGCUGCUCAGUGAGGAAACAGACACCACUGGACCAUGGUCAGGUUGUAUGGAAAACCAAAGGAUGGGUCAUCAGUAAAAAGAACAUCUUGGAAAACCCCUUUAAAUAGAAACAAAGUAAUACGGCAAAAGUGAAAAUUCAGCUUUCUUGCAGUUUUUGAAGUCCCCCAACUAAUCACACAGUGUGGCCAUCUUGAAUGACAGAAAAGGAGACCGGGAAUUGGCAGAUCUGCAGCUAAAAAAAAGAAAAGGAGGUCACAGAUUAGUGUUCUACUCAUUCCCCAGUUAAUAUGAUUUGUUUCUUGAACCAAAGUAUUGCUUUACAUCAUUGUUAUUGCCAUUGUCCUCAUACAAUCCAAGUUUGAAAAAUACAUUCACAUCAUGACCUGAACGCAUAAUCCCAACCCAAGAGUCCGAGAAGAGAGAUUAUCAUUACCAAUCUUUCUAUGCUUUCUAAAAAGGUUGUCUGCUUUAUCUAUUCCCUAAAAUAAACUCAUGACAGGUUGUCCUGUUGCAUUUACCCCAAGUUAUCAGCAUAAUUUAUAGAUUAAUCUGGCAGCAAGUGCUCAGUCUCCCUGUAGCAUCACCACAGAGGAAAUUAAAGCUUAUAUGGUGCCCAGAGGUGUCAAUCAUUUUACCAUGUAAUACAUGGAUGUGUUAGAUUUUUCCCAGAGAAAGAGAGAGAAAUGUUCUUUCCAGCCCCUCUUUGAGCUGGCUAAUUGAUUUUGAAUGAUGUAACUCCAUAAUAUAGCAAAACUGAAUUUCCAGCAAUAAUCAAAACACAACUGUAUCAAUUCUUGACUAUAACAGAUUUGUGGUAAUCCAUGUCUUGUAAGUAAAUAAGAGAAAAGGUACCAAGAGGGUUUUGUGUGUUAGACCAUUUAGAACAUGAAAAGGUCAGGAGAGUAGGACCUUAAUCUGAGAAAGGCAUCACUCUUAAAAGGUCAUGUAUGGACACUCACUGGGGGACACCCAAAGGUCAUUACAUCAAAUUAUAAACUUUUCUUUACAAAGAUAAGUAAUAAAAUAAAUUUGAUGGAUGGUGUAAAAUCAUUUUAAAAUGCAAAUUACCUUUUUGCAAAACACAGCAUGUUUAACGGCUGUUAUACUUUUAUCUUGUGUUAUCUCAAUUGCAUUGUUGCUUGGAGUUUCAGUUAGAAAGUACUAUUUAGAAAGAGACAGGAGGAUGUACUCAUAUGUAAUCUUUCAGAUUUUGUUUUGGCGUAUGAAAUUUAUUUUUCGAUUUUUAUUAAAUGAAUGAUCUGAUCUCCUUCAAUGCAUUGUAAUUAAAAAUAUUUUUUUGUAUCACUCUAAAGGUGGAUCUAGACAGUCGGUUUAUCAGGCAGUAUAUCAGUUGUGCUCAGCCAGCUAUUUUAGGCCAUGAGCUGUAUACAAUUGAUAUGUGUGUACUGCACGUCAGUGCACAGAUCUGCCAUCUAUACAUUGCCAGAAAACGUAGCAUGCAGUAUUUUUCUCUUUGGAGCUAUUUGGCUGUUAGACAUACAGUUAUGUAUCUUUUACGUUAUUAUUAUUUAAAGUUUUUAGUUUACUAUUUUUUAGCUGCCACCAUAUGUUGAAAAUCAUCUAAAACAUAAAGAUAUGUUUUUAUUUUGCCCACUUUUGACAAGUUUCACAAUACAACAGAUCUUUUUUUGCUGCUGUUAACCCUAUGAGAAAUCAAAGUGUCGUCUGGGAUUGACUUUCUUUGGUUAUAAGUGGCUAGGUUACUGGAGAUGAUAAUUGUACAAUGGAAAUGUUGGGCAUGUAAAGACUGAUCCACAGCUGCAAUAGUCGCACGUGGCCAGCUGGGGGACA
This is a long non-coding RNA of Bufo gargarizans (Asiatic toad), 2123 nucleotides long. RefSeq lists it as uncharacterized. The transcript is spliced from 5 exons. The record is from RefSeq and is a predicted model, not a curated record. NCBI's taxonomy places the organism in Eukaryota, Metazoa, Chordata, Amphibia, Anura, Bufonidae.